AGGGUUUGAUCCUGGCUCAGAACGAACGCUGGCGGCAGGCCUAAUACAUGCAAGUCGAACGAACCCCUCGGGGUGAGUGGCGCACGGGUGAGUAACACGUGGGAAUCUACACUAGGGUACGGAAUAACUCACCGAAAGGUGUGCUAAUACCGUAUAACAUCUCCGGAUCAAAGAUUUAUCGCCCUAGAAUGAGCCCGCGUUUGAUUAGAUUGUUGGUGAGGUAACGGCUCACCAAGUCGACGAUCAAUAGCUGGUCUGAGAGGAUGAUCAGCCACACUGGUACUGAGACACGGACCAGACUCCUACGGGAGGCAGCAGUAAGGGAUAUUGGACAAUGGAGGAAACUCUGAUCCAGCCAUGCCGCGUGAGUGAAGAAGGCCUUCGGGUUGUAAAACUCUUUCAGUAGUGAAGAUGAUGACGGUAACUACAGAAGAAGCUCCGGCUAACUUCGUGCCAGCAGCCGCGGUAAUACGAAGGGGGCGAGCGUUGUUCGGAAUCACUGGGCUUAAAGCGUAUGUAGGCGGACUUGCAAGUCAGAAGUGAAAGCCUGGGGCUCAACCCCAGAACUGCUUUUGAAACUGCAAAUCUAGUGUCCCGGAGAGGUUGGCGGAAUUCCGAGUGUAGAGGUGAAAUUCGCAGAUAUUCGGAGGAACACCAGUGGCGUAGGCGGCCAGCUGGACGGGUACAGA
Molecule: ribosomal RNA, 689 nt
Filed under: uncultured bacterium
Lineage: Bacteria
Description: bacterial SSU rRNA
Rfam family: Bacterial small subunit ribosomal RNA
Source: RNAcentral